Molecule: long non-coding RNA, 596 nt
Organism: Medicago truncatula (barrel medic)
Lineage: Eukaryota; Viridiplantae; Streptophyta; Magnoliopsida; Fabales; Fabaceae
Exons: 3
Source: RefSeq, a predicted model, not a curated record
UGACGUAAACAUUCCUUGAGGUUUUUUAAUAUAUAAAGUGUUCAAACCAUUUUCAAUUUGUUAUAUGAAAAGGUGAAAAAAUGGAUAAAAUUCUCAAGUUUGUUCAUAUCGUGAUUCUAUUUGUCUUCUUAUUGCUUGUUUUGGUUGCUGCUGAACAACAUUUUGUUACAUUGUAUAAAAAAAAGGAAAAGUGUGCUCUUGAUGUCGAUUGCCUUGAACUAUUUCCUAAUUCUUAUAAAUAUCUUAUGAAGUGUGUUGGUGGUGAUUGUAUAAGCUUAUCUAAAGGAUUCUCUCAUGACGAGAUAAAGGAGUAAUAUCAAGGUGUUUGAUCAAGAUAGCGAAGUGGAGAAUUAUUGUAAUCUAUGUUAUUUUGUUCUCAAAAGUUGUUUAGACUAUUGUUUAUGUUUAGAUUGGGUUAUAUGCUUUGGUGUUGGGACAUGAAGGUCGAGUCUAAUAAUAUGUUCUUGAACCAAUUUAUUGGAUAUUGAUAAAAAAAAAUAUAUAUUUCAUUUUAUUAUUAUGAUAUUUGUAGGUCUAAAAGAAGCCAACAUAUAUUACUUUGAGUUGUGAAAUUAAUUUGAUUUAUAUUGUGAUGA